RNAcentral lists this ribosomal RNA (568 nucleotides) under uncultured archaeon. RNAcentral describes it as "bacterial SSU rRNA". It matches the Rfam family "Archaeal small subunit ribosomal RNA", at positions 286 to 856 of the family's 1478-position model. The record is from RNAcentral.
UAGCCCGGAGAUGGAUUCUGAGACACGAAUCCAGGCCCUACGGGGCGCAGCAGGCGCGAAAACUUCGCAAUGCGCGAAAGCGCGACGAGGGGAUUCCAAGUGCAUGCACUUAGUGCAUGCUGUUUGCUAGUCCAAAUAGCUAGUAGAGUAAGGGCUGGGUAAGACUGGUGCCAGCCGCCGCGGUAAUACCAGCGGCCCGAGUGGUGAUCGUUAUUAUUGGGUCUAAAGCGUCCGUAGCCGGCCCGGUAAAUCUCUGGGUAAAUCGUUGGGCUCAACCCGGCGAAUUCUAGGGAGACUGCCGGGCUUGGGACCGGGAGAGGUCGGAGGUACUCCGAGGGUGGGGGUGAAAUCCUGUAAUCCUUGGGGGACCACCGGUGGCGAAGGCGUCCGACCAGAACGGGUCCGACGGUAAGGGACGAAGCCCUGGGGCGCGAACCGGAUUAGAUACCCGGGUAGUCCAGGGUGUAAACGCUGUGCGCUUGGUGUUGGGGGUCCUUUGAGGGCAUCCAGUGCCGGAGAGAAGUUGUUAAGCGCACCACCUGGGGAGUACGGUCGCAAGACUGAAACU